GAGGAGCAGUAUGAGUAAGGGAGAGACUGUGGUACUCCCUAGUGCCCACCCUCCUCUGUGCCAGGCCGGUCGUAGCAUGGGCAUGGCACUUUGUUUACAUAUAAGCUGGAUGGCACUUCCUGGAUCCACCUGCCAUCGAUGCCUUCUUCACAGUCGUCCUUGUCUUAGGUCUACGCAUACACUCCACAUGGACACAAGCCUCUCCUCUAAAUGGUCCAGUCUUUUCACCACUGUGGUUUUCCAGGUUCAAUCCAGCUGAACUCGCCUUCCUCACAGAGUAUGAUGCCGCCAUGAGCCCAGUCGCAAAGGCCAUCAACAUCCUGUAGACUGAAACCAAUGUCCAGAUGGGGUGACUACUUCCAACUAUCAACCUGCUGAUCACUAAACAUGACUGAAUCAAGUUGUCCCUGAAGUCCUGUAAGCCUCUGGUGGAUGCGCUACAACUGGGACUGAAGAAGCACUUCAGCCACAUGUUUCACGACCCUGAGCUGAUCGCAGCUUCUCCCCAAAUGUAAUACAAUGUGGACAAAGGAUGAAGCCACUAUCAGAAUGGGAAUGGACUACAUCAUGGACCACCUGGAAGAACCCUUGCUGCAGCUAGGUGAUGGCACCAGUUCAUCAGAUGAGGAGGACUUCUUCUCUGCUUUGAAAAUGUCUCAAGCACAAGAAAGCUCCAAACAGCUGGACGGAUACCUGGCCUGUUCAGCGGAUCAUAUGGAGUUGCUCAAGUCGUUCCUCGCAGUCUGUAAGUUGUUCUCUGAGGUUAAACACAGCCUCACCUUCAUCAGCUGCCCGUGAAAGGCUGUUCAGCAUUGCAGGGCUGGUUUCCAGCCCCUGUAGAACAAGGCUGGAUUCCACAAACUUUGAAAAACAGCUUUUACUGAAGAUGAACUGUAAAUUCUUCAACUUCAAGUACUGACAGCUUAACGCUAGCAAGCCCAAGGACACUGAUGCAUAAUGCGUUUUGUUAAUUUAUGUUUAAAAUUCACAUGUUAUAUGUGUGCUUGUUACAAAGGCAUGACCUGACACCCUGAUUUCUAAUACAGUUCCAUCAGUGGUGAUGUCCUCAUAUUCCGACAGUGAGGUUGUGUGUAUAGGGUUGUAUUAUAGGAUGUUGUUUCUAAAUCAAAGUGACUGUGAUUGUAAGUGCUUACAUUUACUGGCUAUAUUCCUUAAUUUUUAAGGCAUAAUUCUAUUUUGUCUGUAAGAGAUGUAUUUUGAAGUGUUACCUAUUUGUGAAUCCACUUUUUUCUUCUUGCAUCCAUAAGACUGUUACCUUUCACAAAAGGUAAAACCAAAUUAAAGGUCUGGGUGUUUAGCUUUUUGGUUUUACGGCUCUUACGUUUCAUACUUUUACUUUUGAUACUUAAAUACAUCCACCACUGCUUAAAAUAAAGAAUUUA
Molecule: non-coding RNA, 1403 nt
Organism: Salmo salar (Atlantic salmon)
Lineage: Eukaryota; Metazoa; Chordata; Actinopteri; Salmoniformes; Salmonidae
Source: RefSeq, a predicted model, not a curated record